Molecule: ribosomal RNA, 440 nt
Filed under: uncultured bacterium
Lineage: Bacteria
Description: bacterial SSU rRNA
Rfam family: Bacterial small subunit ribosomal RNA
Source: RNAcentral
AACGCGAAGAACCUUACCUGGGCUCGAAAUGUAGAGGACGACAUCAGAGAUGGUGUCUCCCGAAAGGGCCUUUAUAUAGGUGCUGCAUGGCUGUCGUCAGCUCGUGCCGUGAGGUGUUUGGUUAAGUCCAGCAACGAGCGCAACCCUUAUCGUUAGUUGCCAACGCGUAAAGGCGGGAACUCUAACGAGACUGCCUGGGUUAACCAGGAGGAAGGUGAGGAUGACGUCAAGUCCGCAUGGCCUUUAUGUCCAGGGCUACACACGUGCUACAAUGGCCGGUACAGAAGGCAGCGAAACCGCAAGGUGAAGCAAAUCCCGAAAAACCGGUCUCAGUUCAGAUUGUAGUCUGCAACUCGGCUACAUGAAGUUGGAAUUGCUAGUAAUGGCGUGUCAGCAACAACGCCGUGAAUACGUUCCCGGGCCUUGUACACACCGACAUA